UUUUUAAGAGUGGCAUUUUAAAUCAGAGGGGAAUGAUGCAGAGACAAUUGGUUAGCACUCACAAACAAUAAACAAGCCAAAUAAAUAAGUAAAUGGAGCAGUAAGUUCGUGGAAGAAAUAAGAGAUGAAUUUUUAUAAACUGAGAAGAAGCAAUACCCUUCUAUGCUGGACAUAAAGACAGGAAGAAGACUGAAAAACCUGACUUACAGAAAAUUAGCAAAGAAAAAAAUACUGUAAACUAUGCCAAAUGACAAAUAAUCAGAGAAAAGAAUAUUUGUAAUACAUAAAACAGACCAAAAGUCCAACUACCUUAACUUGCAAAGAUCUACUACAAAUCAAAACUCAAUAAAAAAAAAAAAUGAGAGAAGGAUAUGAAAAGAGGUGCUGGUAGGUGUGAUGUGUGUGGUGAGUGAAGGAAGGCUUACAAAUAUACGAAAGGGUAUUAUAUGAGAAGAAAAUUAAAACAAUGAGGAAUUUUUCAUCUUUGAAAUUGGCAAAAUACUCUUCAUAAUGCAAUGUGGCAAGAAUGAGGAGAAACAACAUUCUCCUUUACCACAAACAGAAGUAUAAACUGAUGAAAUGUCACGGGAGAGGCAGUUUUCUAAACAUCCAUCAAAAUCUAAAAACAAACACACCUUACAUUUUAUGGGUAAGAACUUAUUCCCUAGUAAUACAAGAACACAUGGCCAAACUGAUGCAAAUGCAAUAAUGUUUAUUCCAUCACUGUUUGAAAUAACAAAAUAGUAGACCAACUCAAAUAUUUGUUACUAGAAAAUAUGUAAAUAAUGGACUAUCCAUCCAAACAACUACAAUAACAAAUUGAGACAGCUUCAUGUAUCAAUACCUAAGGUAAACUACCAAGUGAAAAAAAUGAUGAAUAAUAGAGUGUACGCAAUAUUUCCAUAUGUAUAUAAGGAAAUAUAGAUCUUUUAUCUAUACACAUUCAUGUUUCUCUAGGCAUAUAUUUAUGAAUGAUACGGAGUUAUUGUUAACACAAGUUAAUAUUCUGGGUGGACCCAGGAUUGAGGUGUUCAGGGUAGAAACCUUAUUUUACAACACUGUUUUGUUCUAUUUCUACUAUUUGAAUUACUUUUUAAUUUUUUUAUUUGGAUAGAGUUGAUACACAUUACAUUAGUUUCAGGUAUACAGCACAGUAAUUCAACAACCCUAUAUAUUAUACCAUCCUCACCACAAGUGUAGCUACCAUCUGUCCCCAUACGUUGCUAUUACAUGUCAUUGAUUAUAUUUUCUACACAGUACCUUUUAUUUCCAUGAUUUAUUCAUUCCAUAACUGGAAGCCUAUAUUUCCCAUGUCCCUUCACUCAUCUCCCCCCCACCCCUUCCUUCUGGCAACCAUCAGUUUGUUCUCUGUGUUUAUAGGUCUGAUUCUGCUUUUUUGUUUAUCUGUUUUGUUUUUAUUCUACAUAUAAGUGAAAUCAUAUGGUAUUUGUCUAUUAACAAGUAUAGCUCAGUAUUGGGAAUAGUGGAGUAAAGGCAAUGAUAACAUUGGCAAAACUGUCAAAGUCAUCUUCAAAGCUCUCCAAAUUAACUUCAGUUAAUUAUCUCAUUUUGCUCUUAAGGAGUAGCCUUGAAAACCAAGAGCCUCACAACUCUGGUAGCUAGAUAAACUAGCAGCCUAUCAACACAUAAGGAAUUAGAGAAGGUUUAGAAUUCCCAGAAAUGUCCAUACCCAGAAAACUGUCACUAUCUAUUUGCCUUAUCUGGCAUCUCACUAAAUGGUUCCACUUUUAAGGCAUUUUAUUUCAUGACUCAGAGUUGCCUCUAAGCAAACAGUCUUAACUUCUAAGCACUUGUUGAAGAAAAUCAGUAGCAACUGUUUAACACUGAAGAUGUUGGAGGUGGCUUUAACACCUGGGGCUAACAAGAGGCUGAUCGAUCAAAUAAAAAUUAAAGGGAAAAUUUAAGAAUUAAGAUGUUUACAUGGAGCUAUGAAAAACUCCAACAUAUUCUUGGACUCUAGUGAGUCAUGCACAUGCAAAGAUCUGGCCCAUGACCAUGAAGGACUUGAGAAGGUUCUAAUAAGCUCUCACCUCUGGCUGACUUUGAGACUUUGUGCAAGCAGAAAGUAAAAGCUAACCUUAGUGGAAUACUAAGGUUAUGCCUGCAACAAAUAUGCAGACCCCCUCAACAAAGGUUAAGAGAUUUAUUUGUUCAAUCUCCCAUCAAUCAUUUGCUAACUACUAAGGCAACAGAACAGAGAUGUUAGUGGCCACACAACAAAAAAUACACUUUACAGAAAAAUUACUUAAAAAACAAAUAGCAACAACAUCAAAAACCCAAAUAGAAAAAACAAAGAGCAACAAUAACAAACCCUGGGGAGGAGGGCAUCUGGUUUCCAGAGUUGACAAAUUAUUUUAAAUGUCCAGUUUCAACAACAACAACAACAACAACAACAACAACAAAAAGGAGAUAUAAUCAAACAGAAAAGUAUAGCCCAUAAACAGGAAAAUUAGCAGUUAACAGAAACUGUUCUUGAGGAAGUCCAAAAGUUGGACUUACAAGAAUUUUAAAUCACCUAUAAUAAAUUAGUUCAAAGAACUAAAAGAAAUCAUGUCUAAGAAUUAAAGGAAAGUAUACAAAUGAUGUCUCCCCACAUAGAGGAUAACAAUAAAGAGAUAUAAAUUAUUAAUCUUUAAUUAAUUAAUUUAUUUUUAAAGAUUUUAUUUAUUCAUGAGAGAAUAAAAAAUUAAUAAUUUUUAAUUAAUUUAUUUUUAAAGAUUUUAUUUAUUCAUGAGAGAGAGAGAGAGAGCGCAGCAGAGAGACAGAAGCAGAGGGAGAAGCAGGCUCCACGCAGGGAGCCUGAUGUGGGACUCAAUCCCAGGACUCCAGGAUCAUGCCCUGGGCUGAAGGAGGUGCUAAUCCUUGAGCCACC
This 2893-nucleotide long non-coding RNA is filed under the name Canis lupus familiaris (dog). Its description in RNAcentral is "lncRNA (ENSCAFG00845006708.1)". The record is from RNAcentral. Lineage: Eukaryota; Metazoa; Chordata; Mammalia; Carnivora; Canidae.